RNAcentral lists this non-coding RNA (29 nucleotides) under Rattus norvegicus (Norway rat). The record is from RNAcentral. Lineage: Eukaryota; Metazoa; Chordata; Mammalia; Rodentia; Muridae.
UGAAACUGAACAGAUUCUCUAAGUCCCUC